CCGAAAUAAAAUCAUUUCAGUUUUUUUAUACAAUGUUUUGACUCUUCGUCUUAUUUGAAUUUUUUGCCAUUAGUAUUUUUAUUCUUACUAAAUGAUAAAAUAUGAAUAGUACUUUAUACAUGACUAUUUUUUAAAGUUUUUUAUAAAUUUUUUAAAUAAUAUGAAUGGUCAAACGUUGGACACGGAAAA
This 189-nucleotide microRNA precursor is filed under the name Oryza brachyantha (malo sina). RNAcentral describes it as "MIR812 microRNA precursor family". It matches the Rfam family "MIR812 microRNA precursor family". Lineage: Eukaryota; Viridiplantae; Streptophyta; Magnoliopsida; Poales; Poaceae. The record is from Rfam by way of RNAcentral.